UGGGGAAUUUGGACAAUGGGCGCAAGCCUGAUCCAGCCAUGCCGCGUGCAGGAUGAAGGCCUUCGGGUUGUAAACUGCUUUUGUACGGAACGAAAAGACUCCUUCUAAUAAAGGGGGUCCAUGACGGUACCGUAAGAAUAAGCACCGGCUAACUACGUGCCAGCAGCCGCGGUAAUACGUAGGGUGCGAGCGUUAAUCGGAAUUACUGGGCGUAAAGCGUGCGCAGGCGGUUAUGUAAGACAGAUGUGAAAUCCCCGGGCUCAACCUGGGAACUGCAUUUGUGACUGCAUAGCUAGAGUACGGCAGAGGGGGAUGGAAUUCCGCGUGUAGCAGUGAAAUGCGUAGAUAUGCGGAGGAACACCGAUGGCGAAGGCAAUCCCCUGGGCCUGUACUGACGCUCAUGCACGAAAGCGUGGGGAGCAAACA
This 426-nucleotide ribosomal RNA is filed under the name uncultured bacterium. RNAcentral describes it as "bacterial SSU rRNA". It matches the Rfam family "Bacterial small subunit ribosomal RNA", at positions 356 to 774 of the family's 1533-position model. The record is from RNAcentral.